CACUAGCUCGAUAGCUAGCCGGGGGCUAGGUCACUAGCACGGACCGACUCACCAUGGUUGACCCACAGGAAAAUAGCCCGCAGGACAUUCCUGACUAUGACGGCAUAGAGGAUGAAGCUUUCCCCCACUCCCACCACCACACUCCCCAGGCCGGGGAGGCCAGGAGGAAGGAGACCCUUUUGCAGAUGGAGAUGAAGGUGAGGUAUCACAGCUGGCUGAUGUCCCUACUGCUAAAAGGAGAGGCGUGAAGAGACCCCAACCCAAGCUGGACUCC
Molecule: non-coding RNA, 274 nt
Organism: Maylandia zebra (zebra mbuna)
Lineage: Eukaryota; Metazoa; Chordata; Actinopteri; Cichliformes; Cichlidae
Source: RefSeq, a predicted model, not a curated record